UAACUCUGGGCUUUCUUCAUUAUCGUACAAAUCUUUCGCCUUUUACUAAAGAUUUCCGUGGAGAAGGCCAAUUUAAUGAGUGUAUAAUUAUUUUUCGUAGGCUUGCUAACGCGAGCCA
Small nuclear RNA from Hydra vulgaris (swiftwater hydra), 118 nucleotides. RefSeq annotates it as U5 spliceosomal RNA. NCBI's taxonomy places the organism in Eukaryota, Metazoa, Cnidaria, Hydrozoa, Anthoathecata, Hydridae. The record is from RefSeq and is a predicted model, not a curated record.